RNAcentral lists this ribosomal RNA (241 nucleotides) under uncultured Staphylococcus sp. RNAcentral describes it as "partial 16S ribosomal RNA". It matches the Rfam family "Bacterial small subunit ribosomal RNA", at positions 99 to 334 of the family's 1533-position model. The record is from RNAcentral. Lineage: Bacteria; Bacillati; Bacillota; Bacilli; Caryophanales; Staphylococcaceae.
CGGACGGGUGAGUAACACGUGGAUAACCUACCUAUAAGACUGGGAUAACUUCGGGAAACCGGAGCUAAUACCGGAUAAUAUUUUGAACCGCAUGGUUCAAAAGUGAAAGACGGUCUUGCUGUCACUUAUAGAUGGAUUCGCGCUGCAUUAGCUAGUUGGUAAGGUAACGGCUUACCAAGGCAACGAUGCGUAGCCGACCUGAGAGGGUGAUCGGCCACACUGGAACUGAGACACGGUCCAG